AGAGUUUGAUCAUGGCUCAGAUUGAACGCUAGCGGGAUGCUUUACACAUGCAAGUCGAACGGCAGCACGAGAGAGCCUGCUCUCUUGGUGGCGAGUGGCGGACGGGUGAGUAAUAUAUCGGAACGUGCCCAGUAGCGGGGGAUAACUACUCGAAAGAGUGGCUAAUACCGCAUACGCCCUACGGGGGAAAGGGGGGGAUUCUUCGGAACCUCUCACUAUUGGAGCGGCCGAUAUCGGAUUAGCUAGUUGGUGGGGUAAAGGCUCACCAAGGCAACGAUCCGUAGCUGGUUUGAGAGGACGACCAGCCACACUGGGACUGAGACACGGCCCAGACUCCUACGGGAGGCAGCAGUGGGGAAUUUUGGACAAUGGGGGAAACCCUGAUCCAGCCAUCCCGCGUGUAUGAUGAAGGCCUUCGGGUUGUAAAGUACUUUUGGCAGAGAAGAAAAGGUACCUCCUAAUACGAGGUACUGCUGACGGUAUCUGCAGAAUAAGCACCGGCUAACUACGUGCCAGCAGCCGCGGUAAUACGUAGGGUGCAAGCGUUAAUCGGAAUUACUGGGCGUAAAGCGUGUGUAGGCGGUUCGGAAAGAAAGAUGUGAAAUCCCAGGGCUCAACCUUGGAACUGCAUUUUUAACUGCCGAGCUAGAGUAUGUCAGAGGGGGGUAGAAUUCCACGUGUAGCAGUGAAAUGCGUAGAUAUGUGGAGGAAUACCGAUGGCGAAGGCAGCCCCCUGGGAUAAUACUGACGCUCAGACACGAAAGCGUGGGGAGCAAACAGGAUUAGAUACCCUGGUAGUCCACGCCCUAAACGAUGUCAACUAGCUGUUGGGGCCGUUAGGCCUUAGUAGCGCAGCUAACGCGUGAAGUUGACCGCCUGGGGAGUACGGUCGCAAGAUUAAAACUCAAAGGAAUUGACGGGGACCCGCACAAGCGGUGGAUGAUGUGGAUUAAUUCGAUGCAACGCGAAAAACCUUACCUACCCUUGACAUGUCUGGAAUCCCGAAGAGAUUUGGGAGUGCUCGCAAGAGAACCGGAACACAGGUGCUGCAUGGCUGUCGUCAGCUCGUGUCGUGAGAUGUUGGGUUAAGUCCCGCAACGAGCGCAACCCUUGUCAUUAGUUGCUACGCAAGAGCACUCUAAUGAGACUGCCGGUGACAAACCGGAGGAAGGUGGGGAUGACGUCAAGUCCUCAUGGCCCUUAUGGGUAGGGCUUCACACGUCAUACAAUGGUCGGGACAGAGGGUCGCCAACCCGCGAGGGGGAGCCAAUCUCAGAAACCCGAUCGUAGUCCGGAUCGCAGUCUGCAACUCGACUGCGUGAAGUCGGAAUCGCUAGUAAUCGCGGAUCAGAAUGUCGCGGUGAAUACGUUCCCGGGUCUUGUACACACCGCCCGUCACACCAUGGGAGUGGGUUUCACCAGAAGUAGGUAGCCUAACCGCAAGGAGGGCGCUUACCACGGUGGGAUUCAUGACUGGGGUGAAGUCGUAACAAGGUAACC
Molecule: ribosomal RNA, 1500 nt
Filed under: uncultured bacterium
Lineage: Bacteria
Description: bacterial SSU rRNA
Rfam family: Bacterial small subunit ribosomal RNA
Source: RNAcentral